UACAGAGGUCUCAAGCGUUGUUCGGAUUCAUUGGGCGUAAAGGGUGCGUAGGUGGGCAAGUAAGUCAGUGGUGAAAUCUCCGGGCUUAACCCGGAAACUGCCAUUGAUACUAUUUGUCUUGAAUACUGUGGAGGUCAGCGGAAUAUGUCAUGUAGCGGUGAAAUGCUUAGAUAUGACAUAGAACACCAAUUGCGAAGGCAGCUGGCUACACAAAUAUUGACACUGAGGCACGAAAGCGUGGGGAUCAAACAGG
This 253-nucleotide ribosomal RNA is filed under the name uncultured bacterium. Its description in RNAcentral is "partial 16S ribosomal RNA". It matches the Rfam family "Bacterial small subunit ribosomal RNA", at positions 524 to 776 of the family's 1533-position model. The record is from RNAcentral.